CUACGGGCCGCAGCAGUUAGGAAUAAUCUACAAUGCGCGAAAGCGUGAUAGUUUGAGCCAGAGUGUUUUUCAAUUGAAAGACUUUUGUGAAAUGUAAAAAGUUUCACGAAUAAGGACUGGGUAAGACUAGUGCCAGCCGCCGCGGUAAUACUAGCGGUCCAAGUCGCAACCAUUUUUAUUGGGUCUAAAACAUCCGUAGCUUGCUUGACAAGUCUUCUGUGAAAUUUUACGUCUAAAACGUAGAGCGCGCAGAAGGUACUAUCAAGCUAGAGACCGGAAGACGUAAGAAGUACAUUCAGAGUAGCGGUUAAAUGUGUUAAUCCUGGAUGGACUAACAAGAGCGAAGGCAUCUUACGAGGACGGUUCUGACAGUAAGGGAUGAAAGCUAGGGGCGCAAAUGGGAUUAGAUACCCUUGUAGUC
This 421-nucleotide ribosomal RNA is filed under the name uncultured archaeon. RNAcentral describes it as "partial 16S ribosomal RNA". It matches the Rfam family "Archaeal small subunit ribosomal RNA", at positions 323 to 746 of the family's 1478-position model. The record is from RNAcentral.